Molecule: ribosomal RNA, 246 nt
Filed under: uncultured bacterium
Lineage: Bacteria
Description: partial 16S ribosomal RNA
Rfam family: Bacterial small subunit ribosomal RNA
Source: RNAcentral
AUACGGAGGAUCCGAGCGUUAUCCGGAUUUAUGGGUUUAAAGGGAGCGUAGGCGGAUUGUUAAGUCAGUUGUGAAAGUUUGCGGCUCAACCGUAAAAUUGCAGUUGAUACUGGCAGUCUUGAGUGCAGUAGAGGUAAGCGGAAUUCGUGGUGUAGCGGUGAAAUGCUUAGAUAUCACGAAGAACUCCAAUUGCGAAGGCAGCUUGCUGGACUGUAACUGACGCUGAUGCUCGAAAGUGUGGGUAUC